UUAACAGCCCUGAAGAAUGAAGAGCUCUGUCUAUCCUCAGAACAGGCACUCCCCUCCCUCCCCUCUCGCCCCCCCGGUUGCAGCGGGGCAAGCUUCCUUCAGACAGCUCCAUCAAGGUACCUCAACCCUGACGUUGGAGGGCUCACCUGUAAGGGUGAGACGGAACUCCAGUCUCCAUUGUCCAUUAAGUCCUUGGUCUCU
This 201-nucleotide small RNA is filed under the name Chrysemys picta bellii (western painted turtle). RNAcentral describes it as "TUC338 (ENSCPBG00000014950.1)". Lineage: Eukaryota; Metazoa; Chordata; Testudines; Emydidae. The record is from RNAcentral.